Molecule: ribosomal RNA, 460 nt
Filed under: uncultured bacterium
Lineage: Bacteria
Description: partial 16S ribosomal RNA
Rfam family: Bacterial small subunit ribosomal RNA
Source: RNAcentral
CCUACGGGAGGCAGCAGUGAGGAAUAUUGGUCAAUGGGCGCUAGCCUGAACCAGCCAAGUAGCGUGAAGGAUGACUGCCCUAUGGGUUGUAAACUUCUUUUAUAUGGGAAUAAAGUGCAGUAUGUAUACUGCUUUGCAUGUACCUUAUGAAUAAGGAUCGGCUAACUCCGUGCCAGCAGCCGCGGUAAUACGGAGGAUUCGAGCGUUAUCCGGAUUUAUUGGGUUUAAAGGGAGCGUAGGUGGGUUGUUAAGUCAGUUGUGAAAGUUUGCGGCUCAACCGUAAAAUUGCAGUUGAUACUGGCAGCCUUGAGUACAGUAGAGGUAGGCGGAAUUCGUGGUGUAGCGGUGAAAUGCUUAGAUAUCACGAAGAACUCCGAUUGCGAAGGCAGCCUGCUAGACUGUGACUGACGCUGAUGCUCGAAAGUGUGGGUAUCAAACAGGAUUAGAUACCCGGGUAGUC